UACGGAGGGUGCAAGCGUUGCUCGGAAUUAUUGGGCGUAAAGGGCACGUAGGUGGUCUCAUGUGUCUGGGGUGAAAGCCUUGAGCUUAACUCAAGAAGUGCCCCAGAAACGGUGAGACUGGAGUCCUGGAGAGGGUCGUGGAAUUCCCGGUGUAGCGGUGAAAUGCGUAGAGAUCGGGAGGAACACCAGCGGCGAAAGCGGCGACCUGGACAGGCACUGACACUCAACUGCGAAAGCGUGGGGAGCAAACAGG
This 253-nucleotide ribosomal RNA is filed under the name uncultured bacterium. RNAcentral describes it as "partial 16S ribosomal RNA". It matches the Rfam family "Bacterial small subunit ribosomal RNA", at positions 524 to 776 of the family's 1533-position model. The record is from RNAcentral.